Molecule: long non-coding RNA, 304 nt
Organism: Brienomyrus brachyistius
Lineage: Eukaryota; Metazoa; Chordata; Actinopteri; Osteoglossiformes; Mormyridae
Exons: 3
Source: RefSeq, a predicted model, not a curated record
ACUGUGGGAGACCUGAGGCAGGUGUCUAUAGGAAUUGGAUUUAAUCUUCAGGUGAAUUUAUGUAAUUUUUAAUAAAAGCAGGGAAAUAGUAAUCUAAAGUCUCUUCCAGGAAGAUUAAAUUGUACGAGCUGCUCUGACUGAAAUGUUGGCCAGUUAGGAAUACUGAAGCGACAUGUGUUAUAACACAUGGAAACUUGUGCGUUAGGAAUACCUAUUUAUCAAGCCACGUGCAAAGGACUCGUGCCAGAGCCGUAACGGAUGUGAUUUGUGGUAUUCGCGGAGCAACAACAAUUUGAAAACAAGG